GCUGCCCGCACACCCAUCUCUCUCCCCCCCAUCUGGUGUUCUCACAGGCUCCCAGCGGCUGGCCCGGGCACUUCUCAUUAAGGAGUUAUGUGUAACACAAACAAACCCGCUAUCCCAGAGUGUUUAUCUCAUGGCACAGAGCGCUGUGUGCCCGCACAUCAAAGACUGUGGGAACAGACGACGCUCGGCACAGCAGCUGCAAUGAGAUCCUGUACACACCCUUCCUGUUUGCCACGGUCUACCUCGGAGCUAUUAUUUUCCCAACAGCCCCACGACAAAAUCCCCCCUACUGCUGUGGCUACCGUACCACUCCCACCGCCACCUCCCCGGGCCGCACCGUGUCUUUCCAGAGGUCAGUUUCUCAUACAGGGUGAAAAAUCCUCCUAGUCCAGGCACGUGAUAUCUGCCAGCCCAGUGGGAAAGAGCAGAGCAGUGUGUAUCUGGGAGUUAUCGGGGACACCUUUCUCUCUCCCUGCGUCUAUCUGUGGUGGUUGUUGUGAACGGCCUCAGAUUCCUCUGGGUGCUCUGCGGGCCCGUUGAUGACAGGUAUUUUCCAGGCCUGGGCCUCUGCAGCCACAGCUGUCCCUCCCAGUGUUUCCCGCGCUGAGUGUGUGAAGAGGAGCUGGACGUGUGGGUGAUCGGGGGCCUGCUGGCACCCGGCCGCCCCCUUGGCAACCACCACGCGCCCCGAUAAGGGAGCUGACCCCACUGUUGUCACAUUCUUCCAGAGAUUAUCCAUGGUGGUUGGGGCAGAAUGUACUGGGCUGCCUGGGUAUAGAGAGCCAGAGAGGAGGGGCAAGGGUCAAGCACGUGUGGUAGUAGUGCCCUUCAGGUCUUAUCACUGAUAAGCUGUAGCGCUUUAGUGUCUUCCCAAAAGUGAUGGGGGACCGUGAAAAGCCCAUCUUGAAUUAGAAUGGCAUUAAUCUCAAGACUGGCCUGAAACAAAGGUCCAUUCCCAUGAUGCAGCUGGGCUUCAAGAAAUGUUGGUCAUAUGGGAAUUGCUAUUGCUUCCUAUGAUAUUUAUCUUGUACUUGCAUUUGGUAAAUGCACUGUUAAAAUAAAGUGUUACCCACACAUCAAUGACCAUAGUUCCCAUCCAUAUCACUCAUCACAAACUCCCUGCACAGUGUGUGAACACAACCUUAUUGCCAUUUCACAGGCAUCCUUCAUAGUGGAAGAAAACACAGUGAUAGGGCAACAUGGGGCACAGCCCAUAACAACAAUAUUUAGCAUUGUUUAUCAGGAGCCAGUGACCGGCUGUAUCAGUGUUGUGACUCUAGCGGGUCUUGCCCUGAUAGUAUCCGGCUGAGAGCUGCUUCCUGGACAGCCUUGUGGCUCCUCAGGGCCAGCGGGUCUACACCCACCCCAAGGAGAGAUGGCUGUCUGGGUGCUGGAGGGGAGAGGUCAGUCUGGAGACACUGAACACACUAGGACGUCUGUGAGAAAUCUCUUGCUUUCCACCAUAAAUCCAGAGAAUGCCAGACUUUGAAGACUAAGUUUGAUGACAAAAUUUCACGACAAUGGCCGCCGUGCAAUCUUCACAAGGUGAGUCCAAAAAUGUCUUGUAUGCUGCUGCAUAAAUUCUAUA
This is a long non-coding RNA of Oncorhynchus tshawytscha (Chinook salmon), 1588 nucleotides long. RefSeq lists it as uncharacterized. The record is from RefSeq and is a predicted model, not a curated record. NCBI's taxonomy places the organism in Eukaryota, Metazoa, Chordata, Actinopteri, Salmoniformes, Salmonidae. The transcript is spliced from 3 exons.